Molecule: ribosomal RNA, 253 nt
Filed under: uncultured bacterium
Lineage: Bacteria
Description: partial 16S ribosomal RNA
Rfam family: Bacterial small subunit ribosomal RNA
Source: RNAcentral
UACAGAGGGUGCGAGCGUUGUUCGGAAUCAUUGGGCGUAAAGCGCUUGUAGGCGGCCUGUCAAGUCGCGUGUGAAAUCCCUUGGCUUAACCAAGGAAGUGCGCGCGAAACUGGCGGGCUUGAGUGCCGGAGAGGGUCGCGGAAUUCCCGGUGUAGAGGUGAAAUUCGUAGAUAUCGGGAGGAACACCAGUGGCGAAGGCGACUUACUGGACACAUAUUGACGCUGAGGUGCGAAAGCGUGGGGAGCAAACAGG